This 24-nucleotide microRNA is filed under the name Oryza sativa (Asian cultivated rice). Its description in RNAcentral is "osa-miR2874". The record is from miRBase by way of RNAcentral. RNAcentral also lists the same sequence under 1 other name. Lineage: Eukaryota; Viridiplantae; Streptophyta; Magnoliopsida; Poales; Poaceae.
AUGUGAACAGUGUCAAACAGUGUC